Non-coding RNA from Podarcis lilfordi (Lilford's wall lizard), 75 nucleotides. The record is from the annotation of a GenBank genome assembly. Lineage: Eukaryota; Metazoa; Chordata; Lepidosauria; Squamata; Lacertidae.
GGAAAGAACAUAGCUCAUUGGCAGAGCAUCUGCUUUGAAUGUAGAAGGUCCCAAUUUCAAUCCCUAGCAUCUCCA